This 610-nucleotide ribosomal RNA is filed under the name uncultured bacterium. Its description in RNAcentral is "bacterial SSU rRNA". It matches the Rfam family "Bacterial small subunit ribosomal RNA", at positions 338 to 951 of the family's 1533-position model. The record is from RNAcentral.
CCUACGGGAGGCAGCAGUGAGGAAUAUUGGACAAUGGGCGCAAGCCUGAUCCAGCCAUGCCGCGUGCAGGAAGAAGCAUCUAUGGUGUGUAAACUGCUUUUGUACAGGAAGAAACACUCCCUCGUGAGGGAGCUUGACGGUACUGUAAGAAUAAGGACCGGCUAACUCCGUGCCAGCAGCCGCGGUAAUACGGAGGGUCCGAGCGUUAUCCGGAAUCAUUGGGUUUAAAGGGUCCGUAGGCGGUUUAAUAAGUCAGUGGUGAAAUCUGGUCGCUCAACGAUCAAACGGCCAUUGAUACUGUUAGACUUGAAUUAUAAGGAAGUAACUAGAAUAUGUAGUGUAGCGGUGAAAUGCUUAGAUAUUACAUGGAAUACCAAUUGCGAAGGCAGGUUACUACUUAUGGAUUGACGCUGAUGGACGAAAGCGUGGGGAGCGAACAGGAUUAGAUACCCUGGUAGUCCACGCCGUAAACGAUGGAUACUAGCUGUUCGGAGCAAUCUGAGUGGCUAAGCGAAAGUGAUAAGUAUCCCACCUGGGGAGUACGUUCGCAAGAAUGAAACUCAAAGGAAUUGACCGGNNGAGAGAGACGAGGACGACACGAGGGAGGAGG